GAUGAACGCUGGCGGCGUGCCUAAUACAUGCAAGUCGAGCGACCAGAUAAGGAGCUUGCUCCUUUGCCGUUAGCGGCUGACGGGUGAGUAACACGUGCGUAACCUACCUCUUUUUCUUGGAUAACUUUGUGAAACAGGAUCUAAUACCGGCUCAUAUUUCGAACCGCAUGGUUCUAAAGUUAUUGAUGCUUUUGCUAUCUCUUAUAGCUGAACUCGCGCUGUAUUAGCUAGUUGGUAAGGUAACGGCUUACCAAGGCGACGAUACGUAGCCGAUCUGAGAGGAUGAUCGGCCACACUGGAACUGAGACACGGUCCAGACUCCUACGGGAGGCAGCAGUAGGGAAUAUUGCGCAAUGGGCGAAAGCCUGACGGAGCAACACCGCGUGAGUGAAGAAGGGCUUCGGGUCGUAAAGCUCUGUUAAUAGGAAAGAACAGAUGUGGAAGUAAAUGUGGACGUCUUGACGGUACCUAAAGAGAAAGCCACGGCUAACUACGUG
This 497-nucleotide ribosomal RNA is filed under the name uncultured bacterium. Its description in RNAcentral is "partial 16S ribosomal RNA". It matches the Rfam family "Bacterial small subunit ribosomal RNA", at positions 28 to 507 of the family's 1533-position model. The record is from RNAcentral.